GGCAAGCGUUGUUCGGAAUUCUUGUGGGUAAAGGGUUCGCAGGCGGUUUAUUAAGUUUGAAUGUGAAAGCCCCCGGCUUAACCGGGGAAGGGUCAUUGGAAAAUGGGGAAACUUGGAUGCAGUAAGGGGGGGGUGGAAUUCCCACGUGUAAGCGGUGAAAUGCGUAGAGAUGUGGAGGAACACCAGUGGCGAAGGGGGACUCUCUGGUCUGUAACUGACGCUGAAGGAGCGAAAGCGUGGGGAGCGAACAGGAUUAGAUACCGUGGUAGUCCCACGCCUGUAAAGGAUGAGUGCCUAAGCGUUAGGGGGUUUCCGCCCCUUAGUGCUGCAGCUAACGCAUUAAGCACUCCGCCUGGGGAGU
RNAcentral lists this ribosomal RNA (361 nucleotides) under Bacillus subtilis. RNAcentral describes it as "bacterial SSU rRNA". It matches the Rfam family "Bacterial small subunit ribosomal RNA", at positions 533 to 881 of the family's 1533-position model. The record is from RNAcentral. Lineage: Bacteria; Bacillati; Bacillota; Bacilli; Caryophanales; Bacillaceae.